GGGUUCAGAGACUAGUCUCUGGAGGAAUAUUGCAAGUUGGUCGGGCCGCCACU
RNAcentral lists this non-coding RNA (53 nucleotides) under unclassified sequences. RNAcentral's name for it is "Li+-I sequence". It matches the Rfam family "nhaA-I RNA". Rfam says of the family: Acidobacteria, Alphaproteobacteria, Betaproteobacteria and Gammaproteobacteria, Verrucomicrobia, cand. division NC10. Downstream gene The record is from Rfam by way of RNAcentral.